This 811-nucleotide small RNA is filed under the name Pongo abelii (Sumatran orangutan). RNAcentral's name for it is "processed transcript". The record is from RNAcentral. Lineage: Eukaryota; Metazoa; Chordata; Mammalia; Primates; Hominidae.
CAUUUAGUUGCGCACAGGACACCGCUGUAUGACUUCCACCUGGCCCACGGCGGGAAAAUGGUGGCGUUUGCGGGUUGGAGUCUGCCAGUGCAGUACCGGGACAGUCACACUGACUCGCACCUGCACACACGCCAGCACUGCUCGCUCUUUGACGUGUCUCAUAUGCUGCAGACCAAGAUACUUGGUAGUGACCGGGUGAAGCUGAUGGAGAGUCUAGUGGUUGGAGACAUUGCAGAGCUAAGACCAAACCAGGGGACACUGUCGCUGUUUACCAACGAGGCUGGAGGCAUCUUAGAUGACUUGAUUGUAACCAGUACUUCUGAGGGCCACCUGUAUGUGGUGUCCAACGCUGGCUGCUGGGAGAAAGAUUUGGCCCUCAUGCAGGACAAGGUCAGGGAGCUUCAGAACCAGGGCAGAGAUGUGGGCCUGGAGGUGUUGGAUAAUGCCCUGCUAGCUCUGCAAGGCCCCACUGCAGCCCAGGUACUACAGGCCGGCGUGGCAGAUGACCUGAGGAAACUGCCCUUCAUGACCAGUGCUGUGAUGGAGGUGUUUGGCGUGUCUGGCUGCCGUGUGACCCGCUGUGGCUACACAGGAGAGGAUGGUGUGGAGAUCUCGGUGCCGGUAGCGGGGGCAGUUCACCUGGCAACAGCUCUUCUGAAAAACCCAGAGGUGAAGCUGGCAGGGCUGGCAGCCAGGGACAGCCUGCGCCUGGAGGCAGGCCUCUGCCUGUACGGGAAUGACAUUGAUGAACACACUACACCUGUGGAGGGCAGCCUCAGUUGGACACUGGGCCUGGGCGACAGAGUGACUC